CACACACACACACACACACACACACACACGCAUACCCACCCCACCCCACCGUACCCCACCCCUCAGGGGUGACCCUCAGCCCCUGGUUUUCUAGCAUCAGCUGUCCCAGCAGGCCAUGAGGACUGUGGUUGCGGCUGGGGUUUGGGUUUGGUGAAAGCUUAGUGCUCCUGACAGAGGACUGAACUCGGGGCAGACGUGGCAACAGAAAGCUGUCUGGAGGCCAUGUAGGGGGUGGUCCCAGGCUGUCAGAUCCGCUCCACAGACCGCUCGGUGUGUCUGUAGUGAGCACAGCACGUACGGUGCAUGUAAGUGAUCUGACACUCACACAGCUAAAUGUAAUCUAUAAUUUUGAAGUGAGGUUGAAACAUGAAAGAUCAUGCUUUUCCAACUGCUCUGUGGCUUACACUCCUUUUUGAUGAUGAUAGCUGAAGCCUGCCGGCAUUUGAACAUUUCCACCCAUUUGUUCAGACACCUGCAGUUGGGUGCCAGUGCCGAUAUUUAAUUGUUUGAGGGUAAAUUAUAAAAUCCUGCAGAGGCUGUUUUCACCCUGGAAAGUAAGAGAGGGUCUCUUACAAACACUGGCUGCCUGCUCCUUGCCUGUCCCGGGACUUAGGUGCCGGCCGCUCUUAGGGGAGUCCACGUGGCAGUGCAGCCACCAGCUCCCGGCACUCCCUGGGAGACUGUCUGUCAGGAGCUGUAGUUCAUCCUGGAUUCUGAGACAAUGAUUGGCUGAGUCAAAGGUCUGCUUUAUCAGCCCGAAGACUUCCUUUAUUUUUAAGUUUGGUCACUCACCUCUGCUCCUGCGGACACUCUGCAGCCACAGAAGAUGCCAGAACGAGUUUAAAACGGCCCACAGGAUAGCCAGGGCGCUCUUGGCACAUGCCUUGUUAUUAGU
Molecule: long non-coding RNA, 895 nt
Organism: Pipistrellus kuhlii (Kuhl's pipistrelle)
Lineage: Eukaryota; Metazoa; Chordata; Mammalia; Chiroptera; Vespertilionidae
Exons: 3
Source: RefSeq, a predicted model, not a curated record